Molecule: ribosomal RNA, 497 nt
Filed under: uncultured bacterium
Lineage: Bacteria
Description: partial 16S ribosomal RNA
Rfam family: Bacterial small subunit ribosomal RNA
Source: RNAcentral
GAUGAACGCUGGCGGCGUGCCUAAUACAUGCAAGUCGAGCGAACAGACGAGGAGCUUGCUCCUCUGACGUUAGCCGCGGACGGGUGAGUAACACGUGGAUAACCUACCUAUAAGACUGGGAUCACUUCGGGACACCGGAGCUUAUCCCGUAUAAUCUAUUGAACCGCAUUGUUCAAUAGUGAAAUACGGUUUUUCUGUCUCUUAUAGAUGGAUCUGGGCCUCAUUAGCUAGUUGUUAAGGUAACGGCUUUCCAAGGCAACGAUGCGUAGCCGACCUGAGAGGGUGAUAGGCCACACUGGAACUGAGACACGGUCCAGACUCCUACGGGAGGCAGCAGUAGGGAAUCGUCCGCAAUGGGCGAAAGCCUGACGGAGCAACGCCGCGUGAGUGAUGAAGGUCUUCGGAUCGUAAAACUCUGUUAUUAGGGAAGAACAAAUGUGUAAGUAACUAUGCACGGCUUGACGGUACCUAAUCAGAAAGCCACGGCUAACUACGUG